Molecule: transfer RNA, 62 nt
Filed under: Marcia hiantina
Lineage: Eukaryota; Metazoa; Mollusca; Bivalvia; Venerida; Veneridae
Description: tRNA-Gly
Source: RNAcentral
GUAAUAAUAGUAUAAUUAGUAUACCUGUCUUCCAAACAGGUGGUUCCGCAUGGAUUAUUAUA